This 1421-nucleotide ribosomal RNA is filed under the name Frigoribacterium sp. ULA1. RNAcentral's name for it is "16S ribosomal RNA". It matches the Rfam family "Bacterial small subunit ribosomal RNA". The record is from RNAcentral. Lineage: Bacteria; Bacillati; Actinomycetota; Actinomycetes; Micrococcales; Microbacteriaceae.
AACGCUGGCGGCGAUGCUUACACAUGCAAGUCGCAACGAUGAACUGGAGCUUGCUCCAGGGAUUAGUGGCGAACGGGUGAGUAACACGUGAGUAACCUGCCCUUGACUCUGGGAUAAGCGCUAGAAAUGGCGUCUAAUACCGGAUACGAGCUUCAGCCGCAUGGCUAGGAGUUGGAAAGAAUUUUGGUCAAGGAUGGACUCGCGGCCUAUCAGCUAGUUGGUGAGGUAAUGGCUCACCAAGGCGACGACGGGUAGCCGGCCUGAGAGGGUGACCGGCCACACUGGGACUGAGACACGGCCCAGACUCCUACGGGAGGCAGCAGUGGGGAAUAUUGCACAAUGGGCGAAAGCCUGAUGCAGCAACGCCGCGUGAGGGAUGACGGCCUUCGGGUUGUAAACCUCUUUUAGUAGGGAAGAAGCGAAAGUGACGGUACCUGCAGAAAAAGCACCGGCUAACUACGUGCCAGCAGCCGCGGUAAUACGUAGGGUGCAAGCGUUGUCCGGAAUUAUUGGGCGUAAAGAGCUCGUAGGCGGUUUGUCGCGUCUGCUGUGAAAUCUGGGGGCUCAACCCCCAGCCUGCAGUGGGUACGGGCAGACUAGAGUGCGGUAGGGGAGAUUGGAAUUCCUGGUGUAGCGGUGGAAUGCGCAGAUAUCAGGAGGAACACCGAUGGCGAAGGCAGAUCUCUGGGCCGUAACUGACGCUGAGGAGCGAAAGCAUGGGGAGCGAACAGGAUUAGAUACCCUGGUAGUCCAUGCCGUAAACGUUGGGAACUAGAUGUGGGGGCCAUUCCACGGUCUCCGUGUCGCAGCUAACGCAUUAAGUCCCCGCCUGGGGAGUACGGCCGCAAGGCUAAAACUCAAAGAAUUGACGGGGGCCCGCACAAGCGGCGGAACAUGCGGAUUAUUCGAUGCACGCGAAGAACUUACCAGGCUUGACAUAUACCGAAACGUCCAGAGAUGGUCGCCCGCAGGUCGGUAUACAGGUGGUGCAUGGUUGUCCUCACCUCGUGUCGUGAAUGUUGGGUUAAGUCCCGCAACGAGCGCAACCCUCGUUCUAUGUUGCCAGCACGUUAUGGUGGGAACUCAUAGGAGACUGCCGGGGUCAACUCGGAGGAAGGUGGGGAUGACGUCAAAUCAUCAUGCCCCUUAUGUCUUGGGCUUCACGCAUGCUACAAUGGCCGGUACAAAGGGCUGCGAUACCGUAAGGUGGAGCGAAUCCCAAAAAGCCGGUCUCAGUUCGGAUUGAGGUCUGCAACUCGUCCUCAUGAAGUCGGAGUCGCUAGUAAUCGCAGAUCAGCAACGCUGCGGUGAAUACGUUCCCGGGCCUUGUACACACCGCCCGUCAAGUCAUGAAAGUCGGUAACACCCGAAGCCAGUGGCCUAACCCUUGUGGAUGGAGCUGUCGAAGGUGGCAUCGGUGA